UGGGGAAUAUUGCACAAUGGGCGAAAGCCUGAUGCAGCGACGCCGCGUGAGGGAUGACGGCCUUCGGGUUGUAAACCUCUUUCAGCAGGGACGAAGCGCAAGUGACGGUACCUGCAGAAGAAGCACCGGCUAACUACGUGCCAGCAGCCGCGGUAAUACGUAGGGUGCAAGCGUUGUCCGGAAUUACUGGGCGUAAAGAGUUCGUAGGCGGUUUGUCGCGUCGUUUGUGAAAACCAGCAGCUCAACUGCUGGCUUGCAGGCGAUACGGGCAGACUUGGGUACUGCAGGGGAGACUAGAAUUCCUGGUGUAGCGGUGAAAUGCGCAGAUAUCAGGAGGAACACCGGUGGCGAAGGCGGGUCUCUGGGCAGUAACUGACGCUGAGGAACGAAAGCGUGGGUAGCGAACAGG
RNAcentral lists this ribosomal RNA (409 nucleotides) under Bacillota bacterium. Its description in RNAcentral is "Firmicutes bacterium partial 16S ribosomal RNA". It matches the Rfam family "Bacterial small subunit ribosomal RNA", at positions 355 to 776 of the family's 1533-position model. Lineage: Bacteria; Bacillati; Bacillota. The record is from RNAcentral.